AGGAAUGCCUUGAGCCAUCAACAACAAAUGGGCGUUACCCCAGUCCUGCAAGACUCUCUCCUGCUAAGCCACUUCCACCUGGACAACGUGCUUGAGAGAGAAACUGAAGGAGUCCAACAGUCAAGAAAGGACACGCCAUGGGAAGCACGGGUAAAGAACGUUUCCAGCAGAAAUCAAUGAAGGGGAUGGAUCCAGCACGGGGUAGCCCCUCCUGGAGGCCCAGCCCUCGGCCUUCCCUGGAUUUUACAUCCCUGGGGUCCCUGGAGCAACUCCCGUAGACGGCAAAGCGGGUUCCAAACGAAGCAGAAUAGGUUCAUAGCAAACCGGGUUCCAAGUCUCCUUUGGGGACAUUUGAUUUCUCCUCUACCUAAAUACAAGUUGCCGCUAAGGGGCCUUGCCUUGCUCUCCAGGCCCCCUUAGCUUUCCUUCCCUCCCCCUGCCCUUCCCUCUGCUAUUUGCGUGAAGGGGCAGAUGGGGCUUGCUGCUGGGCCGUCAAGGCACUUCUUUCCCAAUCGAUGGGUGCUGCAUCCUGUAGCUUUCUUGUCUAUUUGAUUGGUAUUUUCUUUUGUAACUUCUCAGGUUUCCAAACACUACAUAUACUAGGCACAUCUUUGACUAUAUUAAAGCUUUACCUUCUUGGCAUU
RNAcentral lists this long non-coding RNA (644 nucleotides) under Dasypus novemcinctus (nine-banded armadillo). Its description in RNAcentral is "lncRNA (ENSDNOG00000051893.1)". Lineage: Eukaryota; Metazoa; Chordata; Mammalia; Cingulata; Dasypodidae. The record is from RNAcentral.